AAAUACCGGCUUCACAACAGGGGGCAACAAGUGGAAGAUACAGAGCCAGCAAAUCGACAAGCAAGUUUCCAAGAGCCAUGGAAACCUGAGAGCCACUCCGGAAACUCCUGGAGCACAUGGAGUUAGUCCAACUUCCCAGUUGUCCACUAAGCUUAGCGGUGCUGGGACUACUUGGAAGGCCUCUGCUGCUGACAAUGCCAAUAGGGUCGAAAACGAGCUAUGGCCUCAGAAGCCAGUUUUGCAAAUCUGGGGACACUGAUGCAAACUUAUUCUCCUAGAAUUUUAUGUGUAAGGGGUAUAUGUGAAGGGGUUCAGUUUGUAAGUGCUGAGGUCACACAAUACAAAAAAAUGAAAUAUUUCCAAAUUGGUGAUCUGUUAUUUGAUCUCUUUGGUAAGUUGCAUGGUGUGAGUGACAAGGAACCCAACCACAAACCAGGCUCUAAAAUUAGAGGCAUAAAAGGAUUUUUUAACUGCAAAAUUCUAUUAACCUUCAAAACACGAGAAAACGGAAAAUAAUAGUUGAGGGUUUGCCUUUGGAAUUUCAAUGGCUGAUUUGUGCUUCUUUCCAUGGCCAUAUUUCACCUAAUUCUUCCCUUCCCUGCCAUCCUUUCUCCAGGAUUACUGUCUUUUGUUCUUCCUCAUCAAAGCUUCUGUUUAAUGGCAAGAAUUCCUUCAGUUCGGGAUCCUUAGAUUCUUCAGAUUUCAUACUUUGUUUCAUCCUCUUGCCUUCUUGUUUCAUAACCUCAAAGAAUUGGAACUGUAAAAAUAAAUAAAUAAAUAAAUAAAUGACUAAUCAGGAGAAGAAAGAAAAAAAAAUGCAUGAAAAGCAACACAAUUAUGAGGAUAACCUGAGCAAAAUUUCAGAUUCUUGGGCUUUCCCAUCUUCUCAGCAACCCAACAUCACAUGAACGAUUUUCUUUGAUCUGUUUCAGGUUUGAUUCGGUGCUCAAUUUGAUCCAAAUUGUUUGACUGAAUACAUAUCCAACCCUUCUUGAAUUUCUGGGACAUCAUUCCAUAGAAGUUCACCCCACAUUUUCAAGUUCCUGGUUCCACAGCAAUGAUAAUGUGAAUCAAUUGAUUCCUUUUUUAUUUAAUAUAAAUGAAAUUUAAUGAAUGCUCAGCAAAUUUGAAGAAAUUUCUAAAAGAGACUGCAAAAUUGAUAACAGAUGAAAAUAACACAGCUUUCUCCACUGUCCCCUUUUGCAAGACAGUGCCAAUAGUAACUUCAGUUUUGCCAAAAAUCUGUUUCAAACUCAGUAAGAUCCUUCAGAGACAAGAGACAGAAAUAUUGGAACUUUUAGUAAAAAAAUUUCAAUGCCAAGCUCAUAUGCUUUUGCCCCUAGUAGAAUUUUGUUUCACCGGAUGUCUAACUUAUGUUUACCUAUAAAGUUCAAAAACAGAAUCCAAACAACAGUCUAUUACUUUUAAGUCAGUGUUCUUAGAAUUUAGAAAUCAUGAUUAUAUUUUUCUUUAUCAGAACAAUCAUGAUUGUGGUUACUAGUACACAAACAUAAUAUAAUUUGCAUCUACCAUUUGCAUUACAACAGGUUCAUUUAACUCUAUUUUGUGCAGGAGAAACUUGUCCCUUCAAUGAAGAGGACAUAUUUAACCAUGGUUCAAAGAGAGAUGGACUGAUACAAAUGGGUUUGUGCAGGACAGAAAAAAUGAAAACAAAUUUUACCUCAUAUUUUAAGAAAAAUGUUAUCCAUCAAUAAGCACAAAACAUUCAGCUCAAAAAAAUAAAAAAAUAAAAUAAAAGAAGAAGAAGAAGAAAGGAUUUCUUUAAACCAGGUUAGGACCUACCAUGAUUAGGACCCAAAACCAGGUUAUGCAAUUAGGCUACAAUUAGCACAUGGGUCUCAGAUAGGUCCAAGAUGUAACAUGGGUUAUCCAAUGUUUCCAUGUUAAGGACAAAAUUAUUAGUAACAAAGUAAAGCAAUUCAUUCUAGUGAUUAAACCAUAAUGUCAUUUUACAUCUUAAAUUGCCCUCCUCUCAUAUUUCUUAUAAGGGUAAAUACGACUUAUAAAAAAACUAAUUAUCAACUCAACAUUCUCCACUCUUUCACUUUUUUUUUUUUCCGAGUAUAAUUGAUGAUUUACAAUUAUACUAAGGCCAUUUAUUUCGUCUUUUUGACACAUGGAUCUAUGUCGAGUCUCAUAAGCAAGCUGAAGCUAAAUCCUGUACUUUGAUUUGAUACUUCAAAAUUAUCCACUAACUUAAUUCAAUGCCUAAAAUAUAACAUGAUUGAAAGCCACUUUUCAACCUAUCUUUAGCAAAAAUAAAUAUUUAAUUGGUUGAGACGAACGCAUGCACACACACAGCAUUGCUGAGCAGUAUUCAAUUAAUGCCUUUUACUUUUACUUUUCUUUUUUCAUAAAAUAUAAUUUUGUGAAAUUAUUCUCCAUCUAGAUUCAUACAAUUAAUUAACUACUUUAUUUUCUUCAUUCCUUGUUUUGUCACAAGUAUUUUAUUUAUAGCAUACACAAAUGAUAACUAAUCACAUCAAACUUAUCCAUUCUAGUAUUAUUAAUAUUUUAUUUGCAACACCCCGUUGAUGUCAAAUUGUAUUACAUAGGCAAGGUAACAACAGAUAUACAUUAGGUAAAAGUUGUGAACAGCAUAAAUUGGAAAGAGCCAGACAGAUAUACGUUACCUAGAGAACAGCAGAUAUGUGACAACUAAGCAAGGAUAUGUGGCUAUCAAAACCUGAAAGAACUUCACACGGAGAAUCUCUGAUGUCACCAAAGCCUUCUCUAGGGAUUUUUCAAUGCCCUUUUCCCAAUUCUCACCUUUUUCUCUCUUUUUUCAUAACUUCAAAACCACCCCUCCUGUGUCCUCUUGUACUCAGAUUUCACCACACAGAGAUCCAAUAAUCUUCAAGCUCUCUGGAAUUGAGUUUGGGUGCCAAAAAUAGACUUACAUCCCCAACAACAACGCCGAUCUUUGGAUUACCUUUCUAAAACUAAGGGCGUUUCCGAGAGAUUGGAGGCACUGGAUGAUGAUCUUGACUCUUGAGAAGUUAGAGCAAGAGAUGGUCAAGAUGAAUGACUACAAAAACAAAUCCUUAUUGCACAUUGAUUCUCAAGUAUGGUAGGCUAUCUUCUAGGGGGUUCUUUGAAGUUUUUACUUUUAAUGAUUCUGAUCAAUCGGUAAUUGUUUAUUUACUUUAUUUUCUUGUUUUCUUGGUUCCAACUGUUGAGGUUUUCAAAAAGGAAGAUGAGAAGAGUAGUGAAAUAUGGAAUCUGAAGAAUCUAAGAGGCCAGUGCUGAAGGAGUUCCUGCCAUUAAAGAGAAAUUUUGACUAGGAGGAACAAAGUGCAGUAAUACUGGAGAAAAACGGCAGAGGGAAGAACAAGAUGAACUCUGAUCACAAAAAGAGACAGAAAUCAGCCACAUAAAUUCAAAGGUAAACACUAAACAAUUUUUUCCUUUUUUUCCUCUAAUGUUUGUGGGGGUUACGGACUAGAACAUUGCAACACAAAAACCAUUUCACCCCUGCCAAUUAAGCAAAGGAACAAUCAUUACAUUAUUCAAGGCCAAUGACCCCACUUUUCUGCCAACCUCACCAACAGCAAGACAUGGAGGUUGAAGAAGGACCAAAUCGAUCCCUUCUUCUUCCCAGAAACUAAGGACACAAACUGGGUUGCAACUCCCAUGCAGACCCAUGGGCAAUGGUGCCACUUAUAGGCUCUGAAUGAAUGGCCAAAGCAGAAAGGAGGAACAGUAGGCAACCUGGAAGAACAACAGAAGAUGCCAGUCAGCAGAGCAGCAUGCUAGUUUCAUGGCCACCAUGGAGCUCCUUGGUGACCCAGAAAGUUAUAUUUCAGUAUUAGAGAAUCAUGAAUCUGAAUUUAUCUUUUGUGAGAGUUUUAGCCUCUUUAGAAUCUCAAACUUUACAGACAAUGAAGAGAAAAGGGAAAGGGAACAAAAAUAUAAACUCAAGAUUAUUUUCUAAUAUGAUCCAUUUCUUAAGAAAACACAAAGCCUACAAAUUUUGAACCGUAGAGAAAUUUGCAGAAUGUUAACUAUACUUCACUUUCUUUUAUUUUUUUCUUAAUUAAAUAAGACAGUUAAAUUUCUUAGAAAUUUUAUUCCUUAAAACCAUUUUUUUUUCUCCCUUUCCCUUUCUCUUUCCCUUUCCCCUUCAGUUUCGGAGAACUGGAUACGAAAAUUUGUGAAAGGGCAUUUUGAAACUAUAAAAACAAAUUUCAAAAAACACAAAAUUUCAAAUGUUAUUAUUAGAUUUAAGUUUCCAACGCACUUUCAAUUGCAACGAAAUAAGAGAAUUGAAUUAUCAUCUAAUUUUUCUUUUUCCAUUCCUCACCAAUUUCCAAGAUUUUAUAUGAAAAUGAAGAACACCUGUUUCAGAGAAUGUAGUCCUACUCUACAAAACAUCGCAUGGUACGGUAAGUUUCUUCUUUGCUAGACCUCAUGCAUACCUAAAUUAGGGUUUCUUUUCUCUCUACCAUCUUUGAUAGUUGAACAUUUAGGGUAUCUGGGUUCAAAAGUAGGAUUGUUUAUUUCAAGAAAAUUUGAAGAAAAAGAAUCAUAAAAUUUAUCACUAAAUUGCAUUAUUCAAAGGGAUAUCAAACGAAUUUGAGGAAAAAAAAAAAGGAAAGAAAGCAGCAUCGAGCCAUACCUUUCCCAAUGCAAUGGGCAUGGUGAAUCUGAAUCAUGGACCAGUGUCAUGAAUAAUGCAAAUUCACCAUCCCUUCCAGUAUUUUAUUAUCAAACAGUAAACCCUAGGCCCUGUUGCAGGAGGCUGUGUGAGGGAGAGAAGCGAGACUGCUGUGUAUUCUAGAUGUGAGGGCCCUAAGAUCCCUAAAUGUAAUUGUUUUUAUAGAGUCCCUACAUUUUUUCUUAUUUAUCAUGCGGUUCAUAUAUAUUUAAGUUUUAAGUUCCUAAGAGAAAUUGAGAAUUGUUUUUAAAAAUUAUUUUCAUAAAUUGUUUUUUAAUAAUUGUUU
Molecule: long non-coding RNA, 4964 nt
Filed under: Vitis vinifera (wine grape)
Lineage: Eukaryota; Viridiplantae; Streptophyta; Magnoliopsida; Vitales; Vitaceae
Description: long non-coding RNA (VVIN_LNC004791)
Source: RNAcentral